GGCUCAGGAUGAACGCUAGCGGCAGGCCUAAUACAUGCAAGUCGGACGGGAUUGAGGAGCUUGCUCUUCAUGAGAGUGGCGCACGGGUGCGUAACACGUAUGUAACCUACCCAUAUCAGGGGGAUAGCCUCUCGAAAGAGAGAUUAAGCCCGCAUAAAAUCACACACUGGCAUCAGUAAAUGAUCAAAUAUUUAUAGGAUAUGGAUGGGCAUGCGGAACAUUAGCUAGUUGGUAAGGUAACGGCUUACCAAGGCUACGAUGUUUAGGGGAUCUGAGAGGAUGACCCCCCACACUGGUACUGAGACACGGACCAGACUCCUACGGGAGGCAGCAGUAAGGAAUAUUGGUCGAUGGGCGCAAGCCUGAACCAGCCAUGCCGCGUGCAGGAAGACGGCCCUACGGGUUGUAAACUGCUUUUAUACCGGAAUAAACCUUUCUACGUGUAGAGAGCUGAAUGUACGGUAAGAAUAAGGAUCGGCUAACUCCGUGCCAGCAGCCGCGGUAAUACGGAGGAUCCAAGCGUUAUCCGGAUUUAUUGGGUUUAAAGGGUGCGUAGGCGGCCUAUUAAGUCAGGGGUGAAAGACGGUAGCUUAACUAUCGCAGUGCCUUUGAUACUGAUGGGCUUGAAUGUACUUGAGGUAGGCGGAAUGUGACAAGUAGCGGUGAAAUGCAUAGAUAUGUCACAGAACGCCAAUUGCGAAGGCAGCUUACUAAAGUAUGAUUGACGCUGAGGCACGAAAGCGUGGGGAUCAAACAGGAUUAGAUACCCUGGUAGUCCACGCCCUAAACGAUGAACACUCGAUGUUGGCGAUAUACGGUCAGCGUCUAAGCGAAAGCGUUAAGUGUUCCACCUGGGGAGUACGCCCGCAAGGGUGAAAC
RNAcentral lists this ribosomal RNA (879 nucleotides) under uncultured bacterium. RNAcentral's name for it is "bacterial SSU rRNA". It matches the Rfam family "Bacterial small subunit ribosomal RNA", at positions 21 to 900 of the family's 1533-position model. The record is from RNAcentral.